Molecule: ribosomal RNA, 198 nt
Filed under: uncultured bacterium
Lineage: Bacteria
Description: partial 16S ribosomal RNA
Rfam family: Bacterial small subunit ribosomal RNA
Source: RNAcentral
CGACUGCUAAUACCGCAUAACGUAUCGGGAUGGCAUCUUCCUGAUACCAAAGAUUUUAUCGCUUAGAGAUGGGCUCGCGUCUGAUUAGAUAGUUGGCGGGUAACGGCCCACCAAGUCGACGAUCAGUAGCCAGACUGAGAGGUUGAACGGCCACAUUGGGACUGAGACACGGCCCAAACUCCUACGGGAGGCAGCAUG